Molecule: unclassified non-coding RNA, 5131 nt
Filed under: Penaeus japonicus
Lineage: Eukaryota; Metazoa; Arthropoda; Malacostraca; Decapoda; Penaeidae
Description: rNA-binding protein 45-like, transcript variant X2
Source: RNAcentral
GGUGAAUGCAGCUUCGGGACGGCAGUUGUGAGUGAGAAGAUGGCGAACACAGACAAGAUAUUCUCGCGUCGCUACGAGUCCUCCUCCAGAGAACCUAGAGACAAUUUUCACGGUUCGGAUGGUGGUAAAUAUGGAAAAGAGUCGAAAUACGAUGAUCCUCCUCACUCCAGACUGUUUAUUGUGUGUGGAAAAUCGAUAACGGAGGAGGAUUUUCGUGAAAGUUUCUCCAAGUACGGAACGAUAGAGGAAAUAUGGGUAGUCAAGGACAGAAAUACCGACGAACCAAAAGGCGUAACAUAUAUAAAGUUUUCCAAGACCUCCGAAGCGGCGCUGGCCAUGGAGGAGAUGAAUGGGAAAUGCAUAGGGGGACACCCAAGACCCCUCAAGGUCCUCAUUGCACACAGGAAACAGGAAAAGAGCCGUGAGCAAGGAUCUCGGAGAGACAUGAACGAAGAGGAGAGGCUCCUGCGACUCUUUGUUGUUGUGCCAAAGUCGCUGGGGGAAGCUGAGCUCAGGGAGCAUUUUGUACAGUUUGGGGACAUAGACUAUGUCUCCAUUGUCCGUGACAGGAAUACUCGUGACAGCAAGGGCUUUGCCUAUGUUAAAUACCACAGGAUGUCACAUGCUGCAAAAGCCUUUGAGAGCUGUGAACGUACCUUUAAGCCAGUGUUUGCUGACCCCAAGCCCCAGAAGUCAGAUGGGCUGAAGUUUGAAGGCGGGGGCCGAGACCUGAGAGAUCUGCGGGGCAGUGAUGGCUAUGGGGGAGGGUACUCAUCGGGCCCACUUACCCCCCACCACAAUAACCAUCACUCGCCUUUCGACGCCAUUUCUUACAGUGAGUUGGACACAAGUGGGCUAAAUCCCGAGGGUGUGACGCGGCUGACAGUUAUCGCUUCGCCUACCCUCAACCAGGACCAGCUCUGGAAGUUGUUUGACCUAAUCCCUGGUCUUGAUUACUGCGACCUGAGGAAAGACCGCAAGUCUGGACAGAUGAUUCACCAUCAGGCGCGUGGAGUGGCUACCGUGGUGUAUAACAACAUUCAGUCUGCUACCUAUGCAAAGGAGAAGCUACAUGGGUUUGAGUAUCCCCCAGGACAGCGGUUAAUUGUCAAGCUUGACCACCACGACAUGCCCCCUGGUCCCCCUCCUAUGAUGCCAGGAACCCCUGGUGGCCCUCCUUUCGCUGGCUUACCUCGUGUGGCUGGAGCGUUGGCCUCACACAAUGGCACUAUGGGAGGAAGUCCCCCAGGAGGCAUGGCUGUGGCACCUCAGUCAGCAGUGUCGGGUGGACAACCGAACAGCAACAUUCAGCAGAACUUGGCGCAGUUGGCAGAGACCAUUGCUCAGGCCACAUCACUCAUACAGGCUGCAGGGCUGAAUCAAGGAUCGGGAGGACACAACAACAUGGGUAGUCAAGGGCAGACUGGUGGUGGUGAGACAUAUGACCCAUCUUACUGCUCAGUCAAAUUGCCACCUCCACAGCCACUUGCACCUGUGGACUCAGCAGUAGCAGAAAGGUUGUUUAUUGUGUGUCAUCCAUCACCACCCCCAAUUUAUGCAUUGAAGGAUGUCUUUGGAAGAUUUGGAAACCUUAUUGAUAUUUAUAUGCUGAAUGGAAAAACUUUUGGAUAUGCUAAAUAUGCUAGCAAAGAUUCAGCUGAUAAGGCAAUUGUGGUGUUACACGGACAAGAGGUACUUGGAUCUCGUUUAAAAGUAAUGGAAGCAGAUCCACAUGACAAAGCAGACUCAGGUCGCAAGAGACUACGCAUUGAUGAUCAGAGUUGAGCAUCCCUGCCUCGAGGUGCAAUAUUACCUGAACCCAACCCUAUUGUCAGCAGCAUGGCACUUGUCUUACUCUCAGAGCAUGAUUGGUGACGGGUAAAAUUGUCUCAGAGUGUUGACAUCGUGACUACGCCGACUACACUACGGACAGUUACGGACAGCCAACACAGCGACAUACUACUACCCUAACCAACCAACGAUCCAACAAACCAACCCCCUGUAACCUUUUAGACAUCCACCAACAGUCAUGCUCCCAGUGACGUCAAACACCAUUGUAUCAAAACUAGCCAAUGACUGGGCCUCCAAAGGCCGAUGUGUACGAGUGACUUCACAGGUGACCUUCUAGGGAUUAGAUACAUGAUGUCUAGUGUGUAUAUGUGAAUGGUCCAUUCUCACCCUUCCCCUCCCCCUCCUCCCGUCACACCGCCACUCAGAUUCUUCCCAACUCCUCCCCUUCUCCACCUCCAUGUCACUACCCCAUAGUGCCCCCCUGCCUCCUGUCAGAAUAAUUUAUCUAGAAUUGAUAGCUGUGGGAUUUGUUUUAUUUUAUUUUACUUUAUUUUAUUAUUGUUAUUUUUUUAAUGAAAUUAAGCCAGGUGUAGGUAUUGUGAAUUUUGAGUACUUCAUGUUGUUGUUGUGAGAAUUUAUUAAUAGGUGGUUUUCACGGUUCAUGAAGGAGAGCCAUUGCUAUCAUGGCUACAAAAAGUAUUAGGUGUAGUUUAGAUUUGAACCACUAUUUGGUAAGAUAUAUAUAUGAUCAGUUUUGUACCAAGUGGAUACCUCAGUAUUAGAAGUAAAUGUAUACUAUUCCUGCACUGUCCCUGUAUAUCGUGGUACCAAAAGUAUGGUUCUAGUGUUCAAAAUUCUGUAUAAUAAUGUGAUGUAUACAAAUGAUUAAAAAGAUGCAGUGUUCUGUUAGUACACUUGAAAACAAUUGUAUGAUCAGACAUUGAAGGAGGUUCUAUAUAGAAAUCCAGUACUAGUGUAUAGAUUGACUCAGCACAUUGUUGUAAAUUCCAUGGGUUUGAUAAUUGAAAAAAAGAUAUAAAGAAAAUUAAAAAAUUAUGUACAACUUCAGAACACAUUUUCGGAAGUGCCCUGCAAAGAUAAGUAUAUAUAUAUAUAUAUAUAUAUAUAUAUAUAUAUAUAUAUAUAUAUAUAUAUAUAUAUAUAUAUAUAUAUAUAUAUAUAUAUCCUAACCUGAAUACCUGAAUAGCUAGAGCCUUUUAUAGUGUCACCUUCCACCCUCCCGCCCUGUUCCCUAUAUAACCGACUGCAGUAUGGUGUGGUAGUGACUGAUGUCUCGUGACCUCCUCCAUUACAAACAAGGCCUGUAGGACUUUUGGUUUGGUGUGUCAAUUUCACAUUCCAUUUCCACCUACAAUAGUUUUGUAGCUGUGUUCAAUUGUAAGUAGAGUAUCAUCCAAGUUGGUGUCCCACUAUGCAGAAUUUUGAAUUAGAAUAUAAAGAAAGGAUGAACAUAAAAGACAUUGUUCCAUUUCAGUUUUGUAGAAAGGUUAGGAAAUUUGGUUCAAUAUUGUUUGUGAAUGUCAUCAGGAUUUUUAUUUUUUUUUUCAUUUAUAUUAAUUUAUUUUUAUUAUUUCAUUUUUUCUAUUACCAUGUUGCCUUGUGGUCUGUAAAGGUGUAACUUCUUAUUACUAUAUUAACUAUUGUCAUUAUCAUUAUCAUAUAUAUAUUUUUUUUUUUUUUUUAUAUAUAUAAUGGAGAUUGUUUCUUCCAUUGGUAGAUGAAUGUCCCUGCUAAAAUUUUGUUCUUUAUUAACAUUAUUGUUGAGUAUUGAGAAGUUAAUAAGUGACCAAAUUAUUAAGAUCUUGAAGUUGACUUUUUACAACAACCAUAUUCAGCAUUACAGCUUCCAUUAGUAAUGUUACUACUAUAAUUGCUAUUGUUAAUGGUAUUAUUAUAAUUAUUAUUAUUGUUAUUAUUAUUAUUACUACUACUAUCAUUUUAUAUUAAUCAUUGCCAUCUUCAUCACUUUCAUUAUUAAUAUUUUUAAAAAAUAAUUUGAUAAUGUUGGUAUUGGCUUUUGUAUCAUAGCUGUGCAUACCAAUACUAAUGUGAGAUGAGGACGGUUUUCAUUCUUACCAUUAAUUGUUUUAUAUAAUUUUUUAUUGUACAUUUUUUUUUUUUUUCUUUUAGUCUUUAUAUAUAUAUAUUAUAUAUAUAGAUAUAUGGUAAGAAGUGCUAUGGAAAGCCUCACAAAGAAACGUAAGUCAAAAGACUUAGGAAAUGACUCAAUAGACAGACGUGGGCAAAGACUUAGAGAAGAUCUGACUGGCUGGAAUCCCAGAAAACCAAGAGACGUAAGCUGUUCUUUGGUCGAAUGUUCUCGUCAGUUGCAUAGCUAGUUGUAGCCUGCCAGUAGACACAGCUGUGUGUUCUUCAAUUGUUUCAAGUUAUUGCAAUUUUAUUCAUCCAGGCUGGUAGUCUGGCAGAGAGAUAGGAAAUUGAAAGAGAAAGAACAAGCUCGGAAUGUGUCAAAUAUUUAUCGUUUUUUCAUUUAGCUUAGCAAGAUUGAGAAACAUUUACAUUAGGGUUUUCUGGCUCACUGACCCACUCACUUUUUUUUUUUUUUUUUUUGAAGACCCAACAGUACGACGUAGGACGAGUUUGCUAAGUAAGACCUUAGAGAAGUGCGAUGGCGAGAUCUGAUGACAGCUGGCAAUGCCGUUUUGGGAACUUUUGAAAAUUAAUUGAUUUUUUUUCUUCUUUUUGUUUUUGUUUUAAUGCCCGUACUUUCCUCUAGUGGUCUUAAGGACGCAGACUUGCCGUGACUUUGAUCACAUGUACCUGUUCGGGAACAUAGUCGGUGUUCAAUCAUUUUAUAUGAUGGGCCACAUUUCCCUAGGAAUCUAAUUUAUGUAUAUAUUUAUUAUCAUUUUUUUAGAUAAAUGAAACAAACAUUUUUAUGCAUUAUUGUAAAGCCAUAAAUUCUUGGUCACCAGAAGUGCACAAAGAAAAUGCAAAGUACAAUUGCAAGACCAGCUAAUUUUCUGUCGUGUUCGCUGUUAUUUUGUGCCAGGAUCAUGCCAGAUUUCUGUUUGUAUUUGCCCAAAGUUUGGUUGUGUUUGAAGUAUGGAUGUAAAUAGUUAUUUGUGAUGAAACCAUUAUAGUAUGAUUUUUGAAACCCCUCCAAAUGAAUAAUAGUAAAAUAGGUACGCAGCAAUUUUGUAAAAUGUUUGAUGAUGUGUACGUUUUGCUAAAGCAGACAUUGAGCAGAAUGGAGGUAUUGUUCUCUUGGAGAAUUCCAUGUAUUUUCACUUUUAGUAAUAAGGCUUACAUUUGCAUACAAUAUAAAGGAAAUAACAAUAUAAACCAAACACACAAA